AUGUCUCCGUUCCAAACACACUUCUACAGUGAUAACAUGAAAUAUAUAAUAGAUGAUGUUCUCUUCUCAAUCUCUGCUGCCUCUGAAAUAGCUGACCUUAGUAACAUCAUGAAUAAAUUGCUGAAGGACAAAAAUGAGUUCCACAAACAUGUGGAGUUUGAUUUCAAACUGGAGGGCCAGUUUCUGCUAAUUUCCUUGGUCAAACACAUGGACCUUGAGAUCAUCUCAUCAUAAGAGGUUGUGGAACUAGAAUGUGGAGAAGUACACUGUCCACCAGCCAGAGCAAUGCAUAUUCUAUGAUGACUGCAUCAGUUCAAUUAAAGGGGCAGAGGAAUGUACCUUGACUGGUUCUUAUGAUGAGACUUCUGGGUUCUGAUGCUUGGAAGAAAAGUUCGUAAUGAUGAUUGUGAAAUAUACAGAUGCUGUGAAAAAUGUGGCCUGGGUGAAAAAAGACAGUUUGUCUUGUUUUUACUGAAUUCUUCCAUUGAUCAGAGUACUGUCUUACCGGAGUAGAAUUUAAUGAGAAACAGGGAAAGCCCUACACUGCUGCAGAGAUCAUACUGGAAGUGUAGAUUAUAUAGCUGUUGAUAGCUCAGAAACUAUAUUUUGCAGUGGCUGAUGAGAUAAAAUGUUAAAUAUCUACUCUACAGUCUCUAUAGAUAAAGAAGAUGAAAUGGGGGAAUCCACAAAUUGAGAAAGAAACAGAAAACAGAGCAAUUGGAACUAACGAGGACUCCCAUGCUGACCCUCUCUGACCACAAGGAAGCAAUUUCCUUGGUUCUGUGGUCAAAUGUUGAAGGAACCUGCAGUGCAUCUUGGGACCACACAAUUAGAGUGUGGCAUGUUGAGUUCAGCAGUCUUAACUCAGCUUUGUCAGGAAAUAAAGUAUUGUAUUUUCUAUUUUCUACUCUGUAAAUGUUUAGCAUCUGGAAGCACAGACAUGCAUAUAAGACUGGGAUCCCCAAACCAAAGAUAGUUUUUUGCUGUCUUUUUCCCAACUUCACAUACAGGCCGGGUGACAUCAGUAAAAUGGUCUUCUAUUCAUGAACAGCAGCUGAUUUCAUUAUAUUUAGGUGACACUGUCAAGCUGCAGAAUACAAGAAGUUUUAAGGCUCCAUUCUGUGAUCUAGCUGCUCAUGAAGACAAAAUUCUGAGUGUAGACUGGACAAACACAGGGAUACUUCUCAAUGGAAGAUCAGACAAUGAAUUAUAUUCCUACAUAUAUUCACCUACCACUUCCCAUGUGGGGCAUGA
This 1254-nucleotide long non-coding RNA is filed under the name Homo sapiens (human). RNAcentral's name for it is "non-protein coding lnc-SLC6A15-3:1". Lineage: Eukaryota; Metazoa; Chordata; Mammalia; Primates; Hominidae. The record is from RNAcentral.